Arabidopsis thaliana (thale cress) is the source of this 398-nucleotide long non-coding RNA. RefSeq annotates it as other RNA. The transcript has a single exon. The record is from RefSeq. Lineage: Eukaryota; Viridiplantae; Streptophyta; Magnoliopsida; Brassicales; Brassicaceae.
AAAGUCUCCAUGACAGACUCCAUAUUGAAGACUAAUUUCAAAAGAUUAAAGAGAAACUCAUGAUAAUAAUAGCUCGUACAGCUAGUGCUUCUUCCAUCGAAGUAGAGCUUUCAAGAAAUCACUCCAAAAAGGAGUUGUAUAGGAAGGAUCUCUCCAAAACAUUCCAAAGCAAUACAAUAGGAGAAGCUUUUACCCUUUUUGGGUCGUGAAGGACCAUGCUUUGUGCUCUGUUCUCACAACAUUGAGAACUUUGUAGUAGAGCGAAGCUGGAAAAGAGUUGUGGCGUUGUGGAUGCAUGUGGUACUCUUAUGCCAAACCUCGUAAACACACGCAUGACAUGCUUGAAGCAGUGCAAUGGAGAUGUCAUUGCUUGUAGAAGUUGUUGAUGACAGGCGGAU